Molecule: long non-coding RNA, 905 nt
Organism: Aethalodelphis obliquidens (Pacific white-sided dolphin)
Lineage: Eukaryota; Metazoa; Chordata; Mammalia; Artiodactyla; Delphinidae
Exons: 3
Source: RefSeq, a predicted model, not a curated record
CCCUCAGAGGACUUCUUAACUAUUGUCUCCAUAUCUUUUUGAAUGCCUCAAAAAUGGUUUACUGACUUUGCCUGCAUUUCUGAAAAAGGUCGACUUCUCCUAUGCGGUUUUAAAAAGUUCCUAAUUUUUCAGUGUAAUGAGUUUUUGGAAACCAGUCCUUUCUUGUUCUAGUCAAAUUAUCCAGAAAAUUUGAUAUGUCAAACAGAUGUACGUGUAUUUUUAGAUGAGUGUGUGAUAUGCUUAUACCCUUGACUCAGUGUAAUGUGUUUUCAAGUUCUUAGAUAUUUACUGAGAUGAUUUAGCCAGUUAUCUUUCCUACCAGAUUACAUAGAGUUAAGUUUUAUAAGUGAAUUUAUUCUUCUGGGUUACUGACUGGCCUCAACAGUGCCUUAAAAUAAUAAUUCAUUAUUUUGUAACUCUUUAAAUCUCAAAACCUAUGCAGUAAUACUGUAGUGUGAUCAUCUGGAAUUUACAGCUGGGGAAACAGGCCUAAACCCAGAGAGUGGUUUGGUAAUCUGCCCAAGGUUAUACAGCUAGCAGACAGUAAUGAUUUGAUUUCUGGUGUCUCUGACUUCAGAGAUCUUUGGCUUUACGAUAAUAUACUGGAAGGCACUGGAAAUCAGACUAUAUCAUUAAGAAAACAGUAGUGAAGAACUGGGGUUUUUGAGGAAUUGACCACAAUGGUGUUUCUGUCUACUUUCUAAAUUGAAAUAAAUUUUAAAUAUACUAAUAAAAAAACAAUAAUCCCCCAGAAUGUCCUUUUUUUUUUUUUUUUUUCUGGCCAAGCGGCUUGUGGGAUUUUAGUUCCCCAACCAGUGAUAGAACCUGGGCCCUUAGCAGCGAAAGCGUGGAGUCCUAACCGCUGGACUGCCAGAGAAGUCCCAGAAUUUCACUUUUUUAAUGCU